Molecule: ribosomal RNA, 490 nt
Filed under: uncultured bacterium
Lineage: Bacteria
Description: partial 16S ribosomal RNA
Rfam family: Bacterial small subunit ribosomal RNA
Source: RNAcentral
AGUGAACGCUGGCGGCAGGCCUAAUACAUGCAAGUCGAACGGCAGCACAGCAGAGCUUGCUCUGUGGGUGGCGAGUGGCGGACGGGUGAGGAAUACAUGGGAAUCUGCCCAGUCGUGGGGGAUAACGUAUGGAAACGUACGCUAAUACCGCAUGCGCCCUUUGGGGGAAAGCCGGGGACCUUCGGGCCUGGCGCGAUUGGAUGAGCCCAUGUUCGAUUAGCUAGUUGGCGGGGUAAAGGCCCACCAAGGCGACGAUCGAUAGCUGGUCUGAGAGGAUGAUCAGCCACACUCGGACUGAGACACGGCCCAGACUCCUACGGGAGGCAGCAGUAGGGAAUAUUGGACAAUGGGCGCAAGCCUGAUCCAGCCAUGCCGCGUGAGUGAAGAAGGCCCUCGGGUUGUAAAGCUCUUUUGUCCGGAAAGAAAAGCAUUCGGUUAAUACCCGGGUGUUCUGACGGUACCGGAAGAAUAAGCACCGGCUAACUUCGUG